GGAAGGGCUCUCCUGGUGCCUCUGCAGCAGCUUCAGCGCUUCCCUGGGGUGUGCGGUACGGGGUCAUUAGCUCUGGGAGAGGGCUCCAGAAAGGUGCCUGAGCUGUGCCUGGAUGCGAGGUGCGCAUCCUUGUUCGGCUGCCAUCAGCGAGGGCUCACGCUGGGACAGGCGCCCCAGGGCCGGGCCGGCCCCCAGGGAAGGUGCGCGGUGCCCUCCCGCUGCAGGGCUCUGGCCGCGGAUGGGCGGCAGGAACCGUGCUACGUGGCAGGGUAGCGGGCUGCAGUUUGUUUCUUAUCGCUUCAAAUGAUUUCGCUGUUUCAUUUCGCUAGAAAUUGAGUUAGAAAAUUGCCGUAAGUGCCUGGCGUUAACUAGGCUUGAAAGAGGACAUGGCGUUUGCUUUGGCAUUCUAGGAAGAGUCCUCUGUGUUGAAGUGAUUAUCUCUAAGUUUGUUGCCCAGAAGAAGUUUAUGUAACUGAGGAAGAUCUAGGUGCAGAGUCUUCCCUGGCUAAACCCUUAUGAAAAUUUGGAGGCAGGCUGGAGCUUGCAGCCAAAGGCGUAUUGAUUAUUUACUUAUCAAAGUAUGUAGCAGUUACAUUUUGCAUGGUUUUCCUCCCACGCAUAAACUUAAAUCGUCCCAGAAGGACAAGGUCCGCCAGUUUAUGGCAUUUACCCAGGCUGGUGAAAGGACUGCUAUAUACUGCUUAACACAGAAUGAAUGGAAACUAGAAGUGGCAACAGACAACUACUUCCAGAAUCCAGACUUGUACUACAAAGAAUCCAUGAAAAAUUCAGUAGACAAGAAGAAAUUAGAACAAUUGUAUAAUCGAUACAAAGACCCACAAGAUGAAAAUAAAAUUGGCAUUGAUGGGAUUCAGCAGUUCUGUGAUGAUUUAAGCCUGGACCCAGCCAGUAUCAGUGUUCUGGUUGUGGCAUGGAAAUUCAGGGCAGCUACUCAAUGUGAAUUUAGUAAAAAGGAAUUUGUUGAUGGCAUGACAGAGUUGGGGUGUGACACCACAGAAAAGCUAAAAGCUCUAUUGCCAAGACUGGAACAAGAGCUAAAGGAUCCAGUAAAGUUCAAAGAUUUUUAUCAGUUUACUUUUAACUUUGCUAAAAAUCCUGGACAAAAAGGUCUAGCAUAUAACUUAAUUGUCUGUUUCUGAAUUUCCUAGUUGAAUACUUUGGCAGCCAAAUUGCCUGGGAUCAAGCAUGAGAUGAAAGAUGAGGAGGGCAUUCAGACUUGAAUCAAAUAUUACCUCAAGACCAGAAGAAUGACUAUCUUUGCAUCCGGUAUGUGGACUUCAAGGAGGUUUCCUCUCCUAUCUAGAAAUGGCAAUUGCAUACUGGAAUUUAGUCUUGUCGGGAAGGUUUAAAUUUUUAGAUCUUUGGAAUAAAUUUUUGUUGGAACAUCAUAAAAGAUCAAUUCCAAAAGAUACUUGGAAUCUUUUGUUAGAUUUUGGGAAUAUGAUUGCAGAUGAUAUGUCCAACUAUGAUGAAGAAGGAGCGUGGCCUGUUCUAAUAGAUGAUUUUGUGGAAUAUGCACGACCAGUAGUCACAGGAGGAAAACAUAAAACGUCCUAACCCCAGAUUUGUCGGUACAGACUAAAUGAACUGCACUGGGUAAUGAAGAUUUAUUAGCUGAUUACUGCACUUUGGUGCUGGUUUCAGGGGUCGUGAUGAUGUUCUGCAGACAAAACUGAAAUUCUUCCUUUCUGCCUAAAGAAAAUGAUGACUGAUGUUUGGACACUUCAAGAACAAACUCAGAAGAUCCAAGCUGUUUGUAGGCUAUUGGCUUCAAUUAUUGUACUGGUUGUAUCAUAUAGGUUGUAGAUUUUGCAUGAUUUUAUACUUUGGAGAAGUUUAACUAGAGGCCAUUUUAUUAAAGUUUUGACAGCACAGCAUGCCAUUCAGUUCAUAAUCCAAAGUGAACACCAGCAGUUACAUAAAUAAAAAUGUAUUAUAUUGUACUUAUAUUAAAAGCAGUAUUUGUGGUAUAUAAAUUAAAUCCAUAAAUAAAACUUAUGCAGUAUGUUGUAUUUUUAUAAAAGCUAGUUCCAUGGAUCUGUCUUAAUACAGAAUUGUAAAAAAAUCCCAAGCAAAUGAAAGUAUGUUUUAUUUGUUUUAAACUUAUUGCCAAAAUUCUAAAUUUGUAUUUUCACAUCCUAGAUGUGUACAGUGAUUACAUCCAGCCUUUUGCUUUCUCCCAAUUAAUUUGACUUCCUCAUUUUUCUUCUUGAAGUGCUUGGACAUGUAACAAUAGCAUUGCUGAGGACAGGCUGCUGCUCUAUGCUGUGUUGCAACUCCAGCUUUUUUUAAUAGCCAUUUUAAAGUAGACAUUAAGCAACCAAAGAUGCUUUUAUAAUCCAUGUUUAAUUAUCAUAAUUCAGUUAGUCUCCUAUUAUGUGUUUUAUUUCUUUUUAAUAAGGAAUCGGUGGAAUAUGGAUUUUUUUUGUAGCUUGAAACAUAUCAUAAAUUCUAGCUAAAUGCAACAUAGUUGUAAAUUCAUUUCCUGGCACUUCUCUUGGAAAAUAGAUGUGAAUAAGCCCAGAGACUUCAAAGAAGUUGGCUUCCAUGGUAGGGAAAUAGUUAGGGGUAAGGAGACUUUAUAUUAAUGAUUGUAAGUAUUCAUGCCUGUGGAUGUGCAUUCAAUUGUAUUUAUGUAAGGGGAGGGAAAAAAGCAAAUUAAUGCAGUUUCAGUGAUCUCAAGGCUGGUGGAACUGGAUCAGUUUUCACCAGAUCUGAACUUGUUGAGUCAUUUGUUUCUCCCCUUUUGCCAGCCACUGACUAUGAAGUGCACAGAGGUGUCAGUCUUCUGUUUCUCAUCAGUGUCUUCCGAUGUCUAAGCACAAGAAAGUUUUACCAGAGACUAUUCAGUGCUUCUUCGCACAGGGCUCUUUCAAAUGCUACCUCAUCAAAAUGAGUUUGUCAUAGCCACUGUAAAAGUUUGUUAAAAUGAAGAGUUGCUAAAGAGUAUGUACAGCUAUAAUCAUAAUAUAUUUUCUGUAUUUAAGGCUGAAUAGAUGCAAGAAUUUUGGACAAAAUAGUGCAUUAAGUUAUAUAAAUUAUAUGUUUGGGUCGUUGAAGUGUUGCAUGACAUCAGACUAUUUUAUUUUGUAGUUGCCAGAGUAUAAAAGCUUAAUAUUCUCUUAAACUCUAAUAUUUAGAGUUUCAUACAAGCAGUCAGCUUUCAUUAUGUCGACACAACCUGCAAGGACAAGUGUAUGUGCUGCAUAUAGAGACGGCCUUCAUUCUUCCACUCGAUAAAAUUUCAGUUGUGAAUGACUUUUAAAAAGCAGGAUGAGAGAAAAUUUGAACAAAUUAGUGAUUUUUCUCUUAGUAAGAGCCUAGCAAGCAAGUUAUAAUGACCAAUGAGUGAUUUGUUAUGAAUAUUUGUCUUUUUUUUGUGAGUGUCAGCCCUGGCCAACCAGCCACCAGGUGUCAGCGUCUGAGACUGCUGCUGCCUGGCGUUCCUGUGCAGAAUUACCCUCUGGGGUUAUGCCAAAUUACCAAAUGCAUCUUUUUAGAAGGGCAUUUGUGUACAUAACUCCAAGUAUUCUACAGAAGUCAGCAGAGAGCUAGAAGCAGUUAUGCUCUUUUAGCUGCAUUUGGUUUAUCUUCGCCUCCUCCCCAAAACAAACUGUUUCUAUAUCUGUCCUGCAGGCUUUGCAGAAUGUGUACCAUCUUACAGCAUCAAGUGCAUUUAUCUAGCCAGAAGCAGUGGAAUGUUUAUUACUCACACAAUUGCCACUUAAAAUAUAUAGAUAAAAUAUAACUGACCAGAAGUAGCUUAAUCUAUUGGUAUGUGGUGUUACUGAAGAUUCAUAGCAGUAGAGCUUGUGAAACAUUUGCUUAUGGUGAGAGCGCCAACAAAUCAUUCUGAUGAACCUUCUACCUUUUAAAAUAAAUAGAGCAUAAAAAAUGCAUGUGGGUUGAGGGUUUUUUUCCUUGUUAAUCUGAGCAAGAAGGAAGGUGCUUAGCCCAGGAUUCAGUUCAUAUAUGUAUAUAUGUACACACACUUUUAAACCUCAUUCCCCAGGGGGAUCCUUCAUGGGUGACAGCUUCCAGCAGAGGAAGACUGGGAAAAAUACUCCAAAGAUAGUAACUGAUGCCUGUCAACCAGCUUCUGAGGUUUGCUAUGCUUUUCCUUUUUCUUUUGUUCUUCCUGGUCUUCUACCCAUUUUAAACCACAUGUGAUUUUUACAUUCCCAUAUAUAAUAGCAUGAAGUAACACCUUCACACUUAAGCAUAUAUAAAAUAAUAAUAAAAUAAUUAAAAAAGCAAACUGCUUUCACCUUACAAGUUUCUUACAUAUUUUAAUCAUUUGCUGCUGUCCACAGUUCCACUUUACAGGGUACUCUGACUCCCAUUUUGAGUAAGCUGAUACAGUGGUAACACCUAGGCUGGUCAGUUUAUAAUCCUAAAUGGUACAGAUGUCUUCAAGUUGUUCAGUGCAUACAGUAUUACUUCACAGAUAUGCUGUAUGUAUUUUUAAACUUGGUGCCAAGUUGUUUGGUUUGAAACUGAGCCAUAGGAUUUGUACUUGCCAAUUCUAAAUUUAAAUGUAAUUUAUCAUGUGUGUCAUGCCAAGGAGAGCAAACCUGCAGGCAUCUGCUCAUUCAAUGCACCUGGGAGAUUUGCUGCUGAGUAAGCCGUACAUGUGUGUAUAUUUUUUGGCAGUGGAAAAAGGAAUAAAUGGACUGUCAAAGGAUUGAAGUCAGUCACUUGA
Parus major (Great Tit) is the source of this 4723-nucleotide RNA transcript. It is a transcript of the gene named defective in cullin neddylation 1 domain containing 2, with no coding region annotated. NCBI's taxonomy places the organism in Eukaryota, Metazoa, Chordata, Aves, Passeriformes, Paridae. The record is from RefSeq and is a predicted model, not a curated record. The transcript has 9 exons.